Molecule: ribosomal RNA, 497 nt
Filed under: uncultured bacterium
Lineage: Bacteria
Description: partial 16S ribosomal RNA
Rfam family: Bacterial small subunit ribosomal RNA
Source: RNAcentral
GAUGAACGCUGGCGGCGUGCCUAAUACAUGCAAGUCGAGCGAACAGAUGAGGUGCUUGCUCCUCUGACGUUAGCGGCGGACGGGUGAGUAACACGUUGAUAACCUCCCUAUAAGACUGGGAUAACUUCGGGAAACCGGUGCCAAUACCGGAUAAUAUAUUCAACCGCAUGGUUCAAUAGUUUAAGACGGUUUUGCUGUCACUUAUAGCUGGAUCCGCGCGGCAUUAGCUAGUUGGUAAGCUAACGGCUUACCAAGGCAACGAUGCGUAGCCGACCUGAGAGGGUGAUCGGCCACACGAGAGGUGAGACACGGACAAGAGGACUAAGAGAGGCAGCAGAAGGGAAUGUGCCGCAGUAGUGGAGAGCAUGACGGAGCGAGGCCGAGUGAGUGAUAAAAGUCUUGGGAGAGGGAAAAUGUGUUAUGAGGUGAAAACAAAUGUGUGAGGAGCUAUGGACGUAUUGACGGUACCUAAACAGAAAGCAACGGCUAACUACGUG